This 560-nucleotide ribosomal RNA is filed under the name denitrifying bacterium G(A1). RNAcentral's name for it is "bacterial SSU rRNA". It matches the Rfam family "Bacterial small subunit ribosomal RNA", at positions 353 to 906 of the family's 1533-position model. RNAcentral also lists the same sequence under 1 other name. The record is from RNAcentral.
AGUGGGGAAUUUUGGACAAUGGGCGAAAGCCUGAUCCAGCAAUGCCGCGUGUGUGAAGAAGGCCUUCGGGUUGUAAAGCACUUUUGUCCGGAAAGAAAUGGCUCUGGUUAAUACCUGGGGUCGAUGACGGUACCGGAAGAAUAAGGACCGGCUAACUACGUGCCAGCAGCCGCGGUAAUACGUAGGGUCCAAGCGUUAAUCGGAAUUACUGGGCGUAAAGCGUGCGCAGGCGGUUGUGCAAGACCGAUGUGAAAUCCCCGAGCUUAACUUGGGAAUUGCAUUGGUGACUGCACGGCUAGAGUGUGUCAGAGGGGGGUAGAAUUCCACGUGUAGCAGUGAAAUGCGUAGAGAUGUGGAGGAAUACCGAUGGCGAAGGCAGCCCCCUGGGAUAACACUGACGCUCAUGCACGAAAGCGUGGGGAGCAAACAGGAUUAGAUACCCUGGUAGUCCACGCCCUAAACGAUGUCAACUAGUUGUUGGGGAUUCAUUUCCUUAGUAACGUAGCUAACGCGUGAAGUUGACCGCCUGGGGAGUACGGUCGCAAGAUUAAAACUCAAAG